Molecule: ribosomal RNA, 567 nt
Filed under: Staphylococcus aureus
Lineage: Bacteria; Bacillati; Bacillota; Bacilli; Caryophanales; Staphylococcaceae
Description: partial 23S ribosomal RNA
Rfam family: Bacterial large subunit ribosomal RNA
Source: RNAcentral
CUGGGAGGACCAUCUCCUAAGGCUAAAUACUCUCUAGUGACCGAUAGUGAACCAGUACCGUGAGGGAAAGGUGAAAAGCACCCCGGAAGGGGAGUGAAAUAGAACCUGAAACCGUGUGCUUACAAGUAGUCAGAGCCCGUUAAUGGGUGAUGGCGUGCCUUUUGUAGAAUGAACCGGCGAGUUACGAUUUGAUGCAAGGUUAAGCAGUAAAUGUGGAGCCGUAGCGAAAGCGAGUCUGAAUAGGGCGUUUAGUAUUUGGUCGUAGACCCGAAACCAGGUGAUCUACCCUUGGUCAGGUUGAAGUUCAGGUAACACUGAAUGGAGGACCGAACCGACUUACGUUGAAAAGUGAGCGGAUGAACUGAGGGUAGCGGAGAAAUUCCAAUCGAACCUGGAGAUAGCUGGUUCUCUCCGAAAUAGCUUUAGGGCUAGCCUCAAGUGAUGAUUAUUGGAGGUAGAGCACUGUUUGGACGAGGGGCCCCUCUCGGGUUACCGAAUUCAGACAAACUCCGAAUGCCAAUUAAUUUAACUUGGGAGUCAGAACAUGGGUGAUAAGGUCCGUGUUCG